UACGAAGGGGGCUAGCGUUGCUCGGAAUUACUGGGCGUAAAGCGCACGUAGGCGGCUUGUUAAGUCAGGGGUGAAAUCCUGGAGCUCAACUCCAGAACUGCCUUUGAUACUGGCGAGCUUGAGUUCGGGAGAGGUGAGUGGAACUGCGAGUGUAGAGGUGAAAUUCGUAGAUAUUGGGAAGAACACCGGUGGCGAAGGCGGCCAACUGGACCACAACUGACGCUGAGGCGCGAAAGCGUGGGGAGCAAACAGG
Molecule: ribosomal RNA, 253 nt
Filed under: uncultured bacterium
Lineage: Bacteria
Description: partial 16S ribosomal RNA
Rfam family: Bacterial small subunit ribosomal RNA
Source: RNAcentral